AGGGCCGGGGGCGCGGCGCGUGCGCGCCUCGGAGUGACGUCACUGUCGCUCGCCGAGCGGUGGGCGGGCUGGGGACUAGAAUGGAAGGAGAUUUUGGAGAUGAGGUUUGGAAGUAUGGGUGCUUGGCUGGAUUCUAAGAUCAGCACGGAUCUGAGGCGGCCUCACGCUGCUCAUCUGUUCUCCAUCUUUAGUCUCCGCCAUUCAGAGCCUGUGUUCAUGCACCUGAGGAAGAAACCCGGAACCCAGAGCUCUGGUCUCCAUAUGGAAAGCUGGCGAGGCCACGGAGUCCUGGCCCAGUAGGACAGGGAACCGAGACAUCUCUAACUAUCACUGAACCCUACCUUCUAAAGAUGUUCUCAGAUGGAUCCUUAAUAAAAUAGAAGAGUUCACACGCAAAAAUCUAUAAAAUAGUUCACCCAUGUUCAAAUAUGUGUUCUCAUUUUCUUUUCACUUACUGCCUUACCAAAAAGCCUCUCUUGUGGAAUUCGGUGUCACAGCGGGUUAAGGAUCCAGCAUUGUCACUGCUGUGGCUCAGGUUGCUGCUGUGGCACAGGUUCCAUCCCUGGCCAGGCAUGCCAUGGGAACAGGCAGAAAAGAAAAAAAAAAAAA
Sus scrofa (pig) is the source of this 609-nucleotide long non-coding RNA. RefSeq lists it as uncharacterized. The record is from RefSeq and is a predicted model, not a curated record. NCBI's taxonomy places the organism in Eukaryota, Metazoa, Chordata, Mammalia, Artiodactyla, Suidae.